ACAUACGACCACACCCACUGGAGAACUCGGGAUCCCGUCCGCUCUCCCAUAGAUAAGCCAGUGAGGGCCGGAUUAGUAGUUGGGUCGGUGACGACCAGCGAAUACCUGGUGUUGUAUGUC
Molecule: ribosomal RNA, 120 nt
Filed under: Colletotrichum orbiculare MAFF 240422
Lineage: Eukaryota; Fungi; Ascomycota; Sordariomycetes; Glomerellales; Glomerellaceae
Source: RNAcentral